UACAGAGGGUGCGAGCGUUAAUCGGAGUAACUGGGCGUAAAGGGCACGUAGGCGGUUAUAUUAGUCUGAUGUGAAAGCCCUGGGCUCAACCUGGGAACUGCAGUGGAUACUGGCGAGCUAGAGUGUGAUAGAGGAUGGUGGAAUUCCCGGUGUAGCGGUGAAAUGCGUAGAGAUCGGGAGGAACACCAGUGGCGAAGGCGGCCAUCUGGAUCAACACUGACGCUGAGGCACGAAGGCCAGGGGAGCAAACGGG
This 253-nucleotide ribosomal RNA is filed under the name uncultured bacterium. Its description in RNAcentral is "partial 16S ribosomal RNA". It matches the Rfam family "Bacterial small subunit ribosomal RNA", at positions 524 to 776 of the family's 1533-position model. The record is from RNAcentral.